UGUAGGCAAGGGAAGUCG
RNAcentral lists this small nuclear RNA (18 nucleotides) under Arabidopsis thaliana (thale cress). RNAcentral describes it as "snRNA_16630". Lineage: Eukaryota; Viridiplantae; Streptophyta; Magnoliopsida; Brassicales; Brassicaceae. The record is from RNAcentral.